This 603-nucleotide ribosomal RNA is filed under the name Bacillus halotolerans. RNAcentral's name for it is "bacterial SSU rRNA". It matches the Rfam family "Bacterial small subunit ribosomal RNA", at positions 84 to 672 of the family's 1533-position model. The record is from RNAcentral. Lineage: Bacteria; Bacillati; Bacillota; Bacilli; Caryophanales; Bacillaceae.
CCCUGAUGUUAGCGGCGGACGGGUGAGUAACACGUGGGUAACCUGCCUGUAAGACUGGGAUAACUCCGGGAAACCGGGGCUAAUACCGGAUGCUUGUUUGAACCGCAUGGUUCAAACAUAAAAGGUGGCUUCGGCUACCACUUACAGAUGGACCCGCGGCGCAUUAGCUAGUUGGUGAGGUAAUGGCUCACCAAGGCAACGAUGCGUAGCCGACCUGAGAGGGUGAUCGGCCACACUGGGACUGAGACACGGCCCAGACUCCUACGGGAGGCAGCAGUAGGGAAUCUUCCGCAAUGGACGAAAGUCUGACGGAGCAACGCCGCGUGAGUGAUGAAGGUUUUCGGAUCGUAAAGCUCUGUUGUUAGGGAAGAACAAGUACCGUUCGAAUAGGGCGGUACCUUGACGGUACCUAACCAGAAAGCCACGGCUAACUACGUGCCAGCAGCCGCGGUAAUACGUAGGUGGCAAGCGUUGUCCGGAAUUAUUGGGCGUAAAGGGCUCGCAGGCGGUUCCUUAAGUCUGAUGUGAAAGCCCCCGGCUCAACCGGGGAGGGUCAUUGGAAACUGGGGAACUUGAGUGCAGAAGAGGAGAGUGGAAUUCCAC